CUGGCUCAGAACGAACGCUGGCGGCGCGUUUAAGCAUGCAAGUCGAGCGGCAAGGGCCUCGGGCCCUAGAGCGGCGGACGGGUGAGUAACACGUGGACAAUCUGCCCCCCGGCCCGGGAUAGCCCAGGGAAACCUGGAUUAAUACCGGAUGAGACGGGACCCGCGAUGGCGGGACCCGGGAAAGGCGCUGCGGCGCCGCCGGGGGAUGAGUCUGCGUCCCAUUAGCUAGACGGCGGGGUAACGGCCCACCGUGGCGACGAUGGGUAGCCGGCCUGAGAGGGUGGACGGCCACAUUGGAACUGAGACACGGUCCAGACUCCUACGGGAGGCAGCAGCUAAGAAUCUUCCGCAAUGGACGAAAGUCUGACGGAGCAACGCCGCGUGAGUGAAGAAAAGGUUUUCGGAUCGUAAAACUCUGUUGUCAGAGAAGAACAAGUUGGAGAGUAACUGCUCCAGCCUUGACGGUAUCUGACCAGAAAGCCACGGCUAACUACGUGCCAGCCGCCGC
This 508-nucleotide ribosomal RNA is filed under the name uncultured bacterium. RNAcentral describes it as "bacterial SSU rRNA". It matches the Rfam family "Bacterial small subunit ribosomal RNA", at positions 19 to 518 of the family's 1533-position model. The record is from RNAcentral.